GGCUGGUCUGAUGGUAGUGGGUUAUCAGAACUUAUUAACAUUAGUGUCACUAAAGUUGGUAUUCAACCCCCCACUGCUAAAUUUGACUGGCUUCUU
RNAcentral lists this Y RNA (96 nucleotides) under Propithecus coquereli (Coquerel's sifaka). RNAcentral describes it as "Y RNA (ENSPCOG00000009009.1)". It matches the Rfam family "Y RNA". Rfam says of the family: Y RNAs are components of the Ro ribonucleoprotein particle (Ro RNP), in association with Ro60 and La proteins. Lineage: Eukaryota; Metazoa; Chordata; Mammalia; Primates; Indriidae. The record is from Rfam by way of RNAcentral.